ACUAACAAGGAUUCCCCUAGUAACUGCGAGUGAAGCGGGAAAAGCUCAAAUUUAAAAUCUGGCAGUCUUUGGCUGUCCGAGUUGUAAUCUAGAGAAGCAUUAUCCGCGCUGGACCGUGUACAAGUCUCCUGGAAUGGAGCGUCAUAGAGGGUGAGAAUCCCGUCUUUGACACGGACUGCCAGGGCUUUGUGAUGUGCUCUCAAAGAGUCGAGUUGUUUGGGAAUGCAGCUCAAAAUGGGUGGUAAAUUCCAUCUAAAGCUAAAUAUUGGCGAGAGACCGAUAGCGAACAAGUACCGUGAGGGAAAGAUGAAAAGAACUUUGGAAAGAGAGUUAAACAGUACGUGAAAUUGCUGAAAGGGAAACGCUUGAAGUCAGUCACGUUGGCCAGUGAUCAACCUUGCUUUUUUGCUUGGCUUACUUUCUGGUCAAUGGGUCAGCAUCAAUUUUGGCUGGUGGAAAAAGUUCAAGGGAAUGUGGCAUCUUUGGAUGUGUUAUAGCCUUUGUUCGCAUACAUCAGUUGGGAUUGAGGAACUCAGCAUGCCGCAAGGCCGGGUUUUUAUUAACCACGUUACAUGCUUAGGAUGCUGGCAUAAUGGCUUUAAUCGACCCGUCUUGAAACACGGACCAAGGAGUCUAACAUGCCUGCGAGUGUUUGGGUGAAAAACCCGAGCGCGUAAUGAAAGUGAAAGUUGAGAUCCCUGUCGUGGGGAGCAUUGACGCCCAGAUCUGACCUUUUGUGACGAUUCUGCGGUAGAGCAUGUAUGUUGGGACCCGAAAGAUGGUGAACUAUGCCUGAAUAGGGUGAAGCCAGAGGAAACUCUGGUGGAGGCUCGUAGCGAUUCUGACGUGCAAAUCGAUCGUCAAAUUUGGGUAUAGGGGCGAAAGACUAAUCGAACCAUC
Molecule: ribosomal RNA, 900 nt
Filed under: Laccaria laccata
Lineage: Eukaryota; Fungi; Basidiomycota; Agaricomycetes; Agaricales; Hydnangiaceae
Description: eukaryotic LSU rRNA
Rfam family: Eukaryotic large subunit ribosomal RNA
Source: RNAcentral